GUGCCAGCCGCCGCGGUAAUACGUAGGGUGCGAGCGUUGUCCGGAAUUAUUGGGCGUAAAGGGCUCGUAGGCGGUUUGUCGCGUCGGGAGUGAAAACACCGGGCUUAACUCGGUGCUUGCUUUCGAUACGGGCAGACUAGAGGCAUGCAGGGGAGAACGGAAUUCCUGGUGUAGCGGUGAAAUGCGCAGAUAUCAGGAGGAACACCGGUGGCGAAGGCGGUUCUCUGGGCAUGUCCUGACGCUGAGGAGCGAAAGUGUGGGGAGCGAACAGGAUUAGAUACCCUAGUAGUCC
This 292-nucleotide ribosomal RNA is filed under the name uncultured bacterium. RNAcentral's name for it is "partial 16S ribosomal RNA". It matches the Rfam family "Bacterial small subunit ribosomal RNA", at positions 505 to 796 of the family's 1533-position model. The record is from RNAcentral.